RNAcentral lists this ribosomal RNA (868 nucleotides) under Salmonella enterica subsp. enterica serovar Typhimurium. RNAcentral describes it as "partial 23S ribosomal RNA". The stretch from base 373 to 868 matches the Rfam family "Eukaryotic large subunit ribosomal RNA", at positions 1 to 495 of the family's 3401-position model. Lineage: Bacteria; Pseudomonadati; Pseudomonadota; Gammaproteobacteria; Enterobacterales; Enterobacteriaceae. The record is from RNAcentral.
GUAAUACAAAACGACUCCCGGCAACGGAUAUCUCGGCUCUCGCAUCGAUGAAGAACGUAGCGAACUGCGAUACUUGGUGUGAAUUGCAGAAUCCCGUGAAUCAUCGAGUCUUUGAACGCAAGUUGCGCCCGAGGCCAUUAGGCCGAGGGCACGUCUGCCUGGGUGUCAAACAUCGUUGCCCCAGCACAAAUUGUGCCAGGGGCGGAUAUUGGCCUCCCGUGAGCAUGACUCGCGGUUGGCCUAAAUGCGAGUCCGUGGUGGUGAGCGCCAAGGCAUACGGUGGUUGAGUUAUUCUCGAAGCCAGCUGUCCUGCGUGUCUCCCCUCCUGAACGACUCUAUCAACCCUAUUGCAUCGCAUAGAUGCUUCCAACGUGACCCCAGGUCAGGCGGGACUACCCGCUGAAUUUAAGCAUAUCAAUAAGCGGAGGAAAAGAAACUAACAAGGAUUCCCCUAGUAACGGCGAGCGAACCGGGAGCAGCCCAGCUUGAGAAUCGGGCGGCCGUGCCGUCCGAAUUGUAGUCUGGAGAGGCGUCCUCAGCGACGGACCGGGCCCAAGUCCCCUGGAAAGGGGCGCCUGGGAGGGUGAGAGCCCCGUCCGGCCCGGACCCUGUCGCACCACGAGGCGCCGUCAACGAGUCGGGUUGUUUGGGAAUGCAGCCCAAAUCGGGCGGUAAACUCCGUCCAAGGCUAAAUACAGGCGAGAGACCGAUAGCGAACAAGUACCGCGAGGGAAAGAUGAAAAGGACUUUGAAAAGAGAGUCAAAGAGUGCUUGAAAUUGCCGGGAGGGAAGCGGAUGGGGGCCGGUGAUGCGUCCCGUUCGGACGCGGAACGGCGACAGCUGGUCCUGCGAGCGACUCGGUGCGCGG